This is a small nuclear RNA of Loxodonta africana (African savanna elephant), 103 nucleotides long. The record is from Ensembl. Lineage: Eukaryota; Metazoa; Chordata; Mammalia; Proboscidea; Elephantidae.
GUGCUUGCUUCAGCCCACAAAUAUUAAGACUGGAAUGAUUCAGAGAUUAGCAUGGCCCCUGCACAAGGAUAGCAUGCAAAUUGGUAAAGCAUUCCAUUUUUUU